GAUGAACGCUGGCGGCGUGCCUAAUACAUGCAAGUCGAGCGAACAGACGAGGAGCUUGCUCCUUCGACGUUAGCGGCGGACGGGUGAGUAACACGUAGGUAACCUACCUAUAAGACUGGGAUAACUUCGGGAAACCGGAGCUAAUACCGGAUAAUAUUUCGAACCGCAUGGUUCGAUAGUGAAAGAUGGCUUUGCUAUCACUUAUAGAUGGACCUGCGCCGUAUUAGCUAGUUGGUAAGGUAACGGCUUACCAAGGCAACGAUACGUAGCCGACCGGAGAGGGUGAUCGGCCACACUGGAGCGGAGACACGGUCCAGACUCCUACGGGAGGCAGCAGUAGGCAAUGUUACGCAAUGGGCGAAAGCCUGACGGAGCAACGGCGCGUGAGUGAUGAAGGUCUUCGGAUCGUAAAACUCUGUUAUUAGGGAAGAACAAACGUGUAAGUAACUGUGCACGUCUUGACGGUACCUAAUCAGAAAGCCACGGCUAACUACGUG
RNAcentral lists this ribosomal RNA (497 nucleotides) under uncultured bacterium. RNAcentral's name for it is "partial 16S ribosomal RNA". It matches the Rfam family "Bacterial small subunit ribosomal RNA", at positions 28 to 507 of the family's 1533-position model. The record is from RNAcentral.